AAAGUCGUAACAAGGUUUCCGUAGGUGAACCUGCGGAAGGAUCAUUACUUGAUCUGGAAGAGGAGGCAUUUGCAAAAAUGUCGCCUUUUUUGCUUUGUGAACUGAAUUGUACUAUUGUUUUUUUUUAAAAAGUUGUGUUUUCUUCGGAAAACAAAAUAAAGACAACUUUCAGCAAUGGAUCUCUUGGCUCUU
This 192-nucleotide unclassified non-coding RNA is filed under the name Basidiomycota sp. RNAcentral describes it as "partial contains small subunit ribosomal RNA, internal transcribed spacer 1, and 5.8S ribosomal RNA". The stretch from base 1 to 47 matches the Rfam family "Eukaryotic small subunit ribosomal RNA", at positions 1785 to 1831 of the family's 1831-position model. Lineage: Eukaryota; Fungi; Basidiomycota. The record is from RNAcentral.